AGUGGAAGCGUCUGGAAAGGCGUGCGAUACAGGGUGACAGCCCCGUACACAAAAAUGCACAUACUGUGAGCUCGAUGAGUAGGGCGGGACACGUGGUAUCCUGUCUGAAUAUGGGGGGACCAUCCUCCAAGGCUAAAUACUCCUGACUGACCGAUAGUGAACCAGUACCGUGAGGGAAAGGCGAAAAGAACCCCGGCGAGGGGAGUGAAAAAGAACCUGAAACCGUGUACGUACAAGCAGUGGGAGCCUCUUAAUGGGGUGACUGCGUACCUUUUGUAUAAUGGGUCAGCGACUUAUAUUCUGUAGCAAGGUUAACCGAAUAGGGGAGCCGAAGGGAAACCGAGUCUUAACUGGGCGUUAAGUUGCAGGGUAUAGACCCGAAACCCGGUGAUCUAGCCAUGGGCAGGUUGAAGGUUGGGUAACACUAACUGGAGGACCGAACCGACUAAUGUUGAAAAAUUAGCGGAUGACUUGUGGCUGGGGGUGAAAGGCCAAUCAAACCGGGAGAUAGCUGGUUCUCCCCGAAAGCUAUUUAGGUAGCGCCUCGUGAAUUCAUCUCCGGGGGUAGAGCACUGUUUCGGCAAGGGGGUCAUCCCGACUUACCAACCCGAUGCAAACUGCGAAUACCGGAGAAUGUUAUCACGGGAGACACACGGCGGGUGCUAACGUCCGUCGUGAAGAGGGAAACAACCCAGACCGCCAGCUAAGGUCCCAAAGUCAUGGUUAAGUGGGAAACGAUGUGGGAAGGCCCAGACAGCCAGGAUGUUGGCUUAGAAGCAGCCAUCAUUUAAAGAAAGCGUAAUAGCUCACUGGUCGAGUCGGCCUGCGCGGAAGAUGUAACGGGGCUAAACCAUG
RNAcentral lists this ribosomal RNA (855 nucleotides) under Escherichia coli. Its description in RNAcentral is "partial 23S ribosomal RNA". It matches the Rfam family "Bacterial large subunit ribosomal RNA", at positions 331 to 1191 of the family's 2925-position model. Lineage: Bacteria; Pseudomonadati; Pseudomonadota; Gammaproteobacteria; Enterobacterales; Enterobacteriaceae. The record is from RNAcentral.